CUCGAGAGUGGCGAACGGGUGAGUAAUAUAUCGGAACGUGCCCAGUCGUGGGGGAUAACGUAGCGAAAGUUACGCUAAUACCGCAUACGAUCUAAGGAUGAAAGCGGGGGAUCGCAAGACCUCGCGCGAUUGGAGCGGCCGAUAUCGGAUUAGCUAGUUGGUGGGGUAAAGGCUCACCAAGGCGACGAUCCGUAGCUGGUUUGAGAGGACGACCAGCCACACUGGGACUGAGACACGGCCCAGACUCCUACGGGAGGCAGCAGUGGGGAAUUUUGGACAAUGGGGGCAACCCUGAUCCAGCCAUCCCGCGUGUGCGAUGAAGGCCUUCGGGUUGUAAAGCACUUUUGGCAGGAAAGAAAUCGCACGGGUUAAUACCUUGUGUGGAUGACGGUACCUGCAGAAUAAGCACCGGCUAACUACGUGCCAGCAGCCGCGGUAAUACGUAGGGUGCAAGCGUUAAUCGGAAUUACUGGGCGUAAAGCGUGCGCAGGCGGUUCGGAAAGAAAGGUGUGAAAUCCCAGGGCUUAACCUUGGA
This 535-nucleotide ribosomal RNA is filed under the name uncultured Alcaligenaceae bacterium. RNAcentral's name for it is "bacterial SSU rRNA". It matches the Rfam family "Bacterial small subunit ribosomal RNA", at positions 88 to 619 of the family's 1533-position model. The record is from RNAcentral. Lineage: Bacteria; Pseudomonadati; Pseudomonadota; Betaproteobacteria; Burkholderiales; Alcaligenaceae.